Molecule: transfer RNA, 72 nt
Filed under: Aedes aegypti (yellow fever mosquito)
Lineage: Eukaryota; Metazoa; Arthropoda; Insecta; Diptera; Culicidae
Rfam family: tRNA
About the family: Transfer RNA (tRNA) molecules are approximately 80 nucleotides in length. Their secondary structure includes four short double-helical elements and three loops (D, anti-codon, and T loops).
Source: Rfam by way of RNAcentral
GGCUUGGUAGCUUAGUUGGUUAAGCGCUCGUCUAGCAUACAAGAGUUCUGGGUUCAAAUCCCAGCCGAGCAC